CAGCAGAACCUGACCAUGCUGGCACCCUGAUCUCAGACUUCCAGGCUCCAGAACUAGCACAGCGUGGCAGUGAGCCAGCAUCCCGGCCCUAAACCAGGGCACGCCAGUGGGUGGAGUACAGGCCUGAGUGACCGCAGCUGCUGUCACUCCCGGCAUGUCCCCUGUUCUGCCUGGCCCUGGGCACCUGACAGGCGUCACAUCGGUGGCAUCACCCACACCCCGUGGUGAUGACAACGAGGCCCACUUGGCCGAGGCCACGUGGGAGGAAUUAUUCCAACACGGAAGCCUGUGUGUGUCCUCUUAACCCUCCCUCCCAGGGAAGCCCAUGAGCACAGAAGUCAGACAACAGAGCCCCUCCCUGGUGCUGCCUCUGGAGGAUGAGGAGAGAGGAGUAGAGACUGCUCCUCUGACCCUCAGUCUCUGGAAGUCCAAAUGCCAUCUGGU
Vicugna pacos (alpaca) is the source of this 444-nucleotide non-coding RNA. The record is from RefSeq and is a predicted model, not a curated record. Lineage: Eukaryota; Metazoa; Chordata; Mammalia; Artiodactyla; Camelidae.